GAUUUUCGAAGGUAAAAUUCAACAACAUAGUGCUGAAGGCUAGUUUUUUUGCUUUUUGUUGUUAGUUUUAUAGCCUUCAGCACUAUGUUGUUGAAUUUUACCUUCGAAAAUCACUUAAAAUUGAGUAAUAAUUGGGUUUAAAAUUUAAAUUUGAGUAGAUAAGAAUUAGAUGUUUAUAUUCUGCUAAUUUCACUGGUGAAAAUGUAGCAAAUAGAAAUUAUUUUAAUCUAAUAAACUAGCAAAUAGUAUUUAAAACAAAAAUAUUUGUUUUUUAUGUUGUAAAAUGUUUUAAAUUAGAUAAAAUUUACAAAUUUACAAAUUUUCAAGCAAAAUAGGUUCUAAAAAAUGAGAAAAUAUUACAUAUUUUAGCUAUUUGACUACUUUAAUGCUAGUAAAUUAAAAUGAAUUUAAUUCAUUUUCACUUUAAAACACUUAUUUUAAUAAAAUAUAUGAUUUUAAAAUGAUAAAAUAUUUUUUAAGAGGUAAAUUUAAGAAAUUAGUUAAAUUUUAAAGAAAAAGCAUCUAAAAAUGGACAAAAAUGAAGUAUUUCCUUUUUUUAUACAUUUAAAUGCUAGAAAAUUUAAGUAAAACAUUUAUAAAUAAAAGUAAAAUAGUUUUAGGAAUAUGAGUAAAUAGUUUUUUUUAUGUAAAAAACAUUUUAUCAAUUUCAUUUAUUCAUUUUAGUUAAAUUUUUCAUUCACAAAAAACUUUUUUUUGGUAAAAUAAAGACUUUAUAAAGAUAACUUAAAGAAAAAGUUUAUCUAGA
RNAcentral lists this ribosomal RNA (766 nucleotides) under Tetrahymena thermophila. RNAcentral's name for it is "partial ribosomal RNA". The record is from RNAcentral. Lineage: Eukaryota; Ciliophora; Oligohymenophorea; Hymenostomatida; Tetrahymenidae.